Molecule: long non-coding RNA, 521 nt
Filed under: Eucalyptus grandis
Lineage: Eukaryota; Viridiplantae; Streptophyta; Magnoliopsida; Myrtales; Myrtaceae
Description: long non-coding RNA (EGRA_LNC006591)
Source: RNAcentral
AACUUUUGAGGUGAUAGAGGUCAAAACCACCUAACACCAAAAAAAAUAAAAAUCAUAAUACCACGAAAGUAUUCCUCCUCUCUUUUCCAUUUCAUUCCCUGUCUGUCCUUUAAUAAUUCUGUGUGCCUUUUUCUACCUCCGGUCAGAGAGACCCUCAACAUCAUAAAAGCAUAUACACUCAGCUAGCACUUCAUCCUUGACUCGAAAGGAUAAAAAAUCACAAUAAUUAGUGUUGCCGCUUCAUGAUUGUUGGAAAAGUGAUAAAUUAUGUGGUUAAGUAGGAGCAAGGCAAGAGAGACUGACCCAUUAGUCAUAUUGCACAUUGCAUUCAACAAAAGAUAAAGCACAAGGAAACAAAAGUCCCCACGAGUGAAACCGUGGGUGGUGGUGGGACUGUAUUAUAUGCUAUCAUUGACCAUGCAUUUUUGCUUUCCAAACCCAGCACAAGUAGCUGACAAUUUUUUUUUUUUUUUUGGGUACGACCCCUUUUUUGUGGAAAGAUCGGUGGGCACCCAAAAAUA